This is a transfer RNA of Camelus ferus (Wild Bactrian camel), 73 nucleotides long. It matches the Rfam family "tRNA". From Rfam's summary of the family: Transfer RNA (tRNA) molecules are approximately 80 nucleotides in length. Their secondary structure includes four short double-helical elements and three loops (D, anti-codon, and T loops). NCBI's taxonomy places the organism in Eukaryota, Metazoa, Chordata, Mammalia, Artiodactyla, Camelidae. The record is from Rfam.
GAGGAUAUAGCUAAAGUGGUAGAGCGCAUGCUUAACAUGCACGAGGUCCUGGAUUCAAUCCCCAGUGCCUCCU